AGGUGUGGUCCUUAAUUUUAUAAAACCUAGCAUUUCAGAAAAGCCAUCACCCCAAUUAACUUAGCAGUCUUAAGGAUCCCUAAAUACUCACACAGGUUGGAAGCUUAAACACUUUCACACAUAAUUGCAAAAGAGUUGGUACUUUGUCAGAGAGAAAAUUUGCUAGGAACAGGGCAGGUUCAACGCCAUCUCCUAGAAGUCUUCUGACCAGAAUUAAUUUUUUUGUACAGUCCAAUAAGGCUAGUACAGUAUCUUUAAUAUUCCAUUACUUUUCAUGGUCUGCUUUGUAUUUUAGUUAAAUUACUAGGAUCUAAAGAAGGUACAAAGAUAAGCAAGAAGUGGGUAUUUGCCCUUGUGGAGUUUACGGUAAGUCUAUUAUAUUUUCAGCUUUAAGACAGAAAUGCUAAUGGUAACUCAAAGAAGUAAUAUGUGGUGCAUGUUAAAUAGCAGUGGAGGGCCAAGGACAUGAGCGAGGAUGCCUCUCCACCAGCAAAAGAUCCAGGUGCAAAGAGCACUGAAGGCAUCUUGGAGGGUAAGCAGUAUUUCAACAGGUGGAGAUGGCAGAAAUCAGCAUUCCAGAAAGAAGACAGGGCAUCCACAGCUCUUCUUCAAUAGAGGAAAUGGUUUCUCAGCUGCAGCAUGACUGACAUUUUGGCCGGAUAAUUCUUUGUUGUGGGGGCUGUCCUGUGAGCUGUAGGCUGUGUAGCGGCAUCUCGCUGUCAACCCACUGGAUGCUAGUGACACUCCGACCCCAGUGGUAACAACCCGGAAUGUCUCCAGACAUUGCCAAUUGACCUUGGGGUUGGGGGAAAAAUCACCUUGGGUGAGAGAUACUGAUACAGAAUAUAUAUACGCACAGACACGUAUAUGAGGGUAUGUGUGUGUGUAUAUAUAUAUAUAUAUAGUAACUGUCCACG
RNAcentral lists this long non-coding RNA (917 nucleotides) under Homo sapiens (human). RNAcentral's name for it is "HSALNT0099842". Lineage: Eukaryota; Metazoa; Chordata; Mammalia; Primates; Hominidae. The record is from RNAcentral.